CUUGAAGAUUUGGCGAUCAUACUUGUAUGGUGCUAAAGUUCAAAUCUAUACUGACCACAAAAGCCUAAAGUACAUAUUCACCCAGCCGGAGUUGAAUCUAAGGCAAAGAAGGUGGAUGGAACUUGUGGCGGAUUACAACUUGGAUAUAGCGUACCAUCCGGGCAAGGCCAACCAAGUCGCCGACGCCCUAAGUAGGAGGCGCUCGGAAGUUGAGGCGGAACGGAGCCAAGUGGACUUGGUUAACAUGAUGGGGACAUUGCAUGUGAAUGCCUUGUCUAAAGAAGUUGAACCCUUAGGGUUGGGAGCCGCCGAUCAGGCCGACCUGCUUAGUAGGAUCCGGCUGGCUCAGGAACGGGACGAGGAGAUAAAAGGAUGGGCUCAAAACAAUAAGACCGAGUACCAAACCUCGAACAAUGGUACAAUCGUGGUGAACGGUCGAGUAUGUGUGCCGAACGAUAGGGCAUUAAAGGAGGAGAUCCUAAGAGAGGCCCAUCAAUCGAAGUUCUCAAUCCAUCCUGGGUCGAACAAGAUGUACCGCGACCUUAAAAGGUACUACCAUUGGGUAGGAAUGAAGAAAGACGUGGCCAGAUGGGUGGCCAAGUGCCCGACUUGUCAACUGGUCAAGGCGGAGCAUCAAGUACCAAGUGGGUUGUUACAAAACCUACCUAUACCGGAAUGGAAGUGGGACCACAUAACGAUGGACUUCGUCACUGGACUGCCAACGGGGAUCAAGUCCAAACACAAUGCGGUAUGGGUUGUGGUAGACCGAUUGACUAAGUCUGCGCACUUCAUGGCGAUCUCGGAUAAGGAUGGAGCAGAAAUCAUUGCCGAGAAGUAUAUAGACGAGAUCGUGCGGUUACAUGGGAUUCCGGUUAGUAUAGUGUCAGACCGAGACACAAGGUUCACGUCAAAGUUUUGGAAGGCUUUCCAAAAGGCCUUAGGAACUCGAGUGAACCUAAGUACUGCCUACCACCCACAAACGGACGAACAGUCCGAACGAACGAUUCAAACCCUCGAGGACAUGUUGAGGGCAUGCGUCUUGGAUUGGGGAGGAAACUGGGAGAAAUAUCUAAGGUUAGUAGAGUUUGCAUACAAUAAUAGUUUUCAAGCUAGUAUUGGUAUGUCUCCCUAUGAGGCGUUGUAUGGCCGAGCUUGUAGAACACCGUUGUGUUGGACGCCCGUGGGCGAACGUCGGUUGUUUGGACCUACGAUCGUGGAUGAAACCACGGAGAGAAUGAAGUUCUUAAAGAUCAAGUUAAAGGAAGCCCAAGAUCGACAGAAAAGCUACGCCAACAAACGUCGAAAGGAAUUGGAAUUCCAAGUAGGAGAUUUGGUGUACUUAAAGGCGAUGACCUACAAAGGGGCAGGACGAUUCACCUCAAGGAAAAAGUUAAGCCCAAGGUAUGUUGGCCCGUACAAGGUGAUCGAACGAGUAGGGGCGGUGGCAUACAAACUUGACCUUCCUCCAAAACUAAAUGCGUUUCACAACGUCUUCCAUGUGUCACAAUUACGGAAGUGUUUAAGUGAUCAAGAAGAAAGCGUGGAAGAUAUACCUCCCGGGUUAAAGGAGAACAUGACGGUGGAAGCAUGGCCGGUACGGAUCAUGGACCGAAUGACGAAAGGGACUCGGGGAAAAGCAAGGGAUUUGUUAAAAGUCUUGUGGAAUUGUAGAGGCCGUGAGGAAUACACUUGGGAAACCGAGAAUAAGAUGAAGGCCAAUUUUCCGGAGUGGUUCAAGGAGAUGGGUAAAGAUCAACUUGAUGCGGAUUCGAGGACGAAUCCAAUUCAAGGGGGGGAGACUUGUAACGCCCGCGAUCCUCAAUAGGAUCGUUGGCUAGGACUUGGUCCGAGAGAAGAAGGUGGAGUCUCGGACAAGUGAGAAGGAGCUGGCCAUAAGCUCGGACAAAGGGGAAAUCAUGCAGGCUAAGCUAGGAUCGUAAAGAAAUCACUUGGGUCAGCUCGCCCAAAGCUUAAGCUCAGCUGGAAGGAGUGACGGUUACUCAGGUCCAGUGACAGUCCAGCUCGGGCAGCUGGACGAGUGACGGUUGAGCUCGAGGUAGCUGGGCGAGUGACGGACGAGCUCGAGGCGGCUGGACGAGUGACGGUUGAGCUCGAGGUAGCUGGGUGAGUGACGGACGAGCUCGAGGUAGCUGGACGAGUGACGGACGAACUGGGCGGUUAUGGGCGAAGAGAUACAACUCUUCGGAAAGGUGCAACUCUUCGGAAGGGCGCAACUCUUCGGAAAGGUGCAACUCUUCGGAAAGGUGCAAGGAACGGAUGUGUUGAUUCGGGAAGCAUCCAUUCGCCCCCUAUAUAAGGAAGGGCGCCAGGACCAUUCCACUCACCACAACACACCGAAAACACAAGAAACUCACCAUUAAAACUCUCUCCCUCUUGGGAGAAUAAAUAGUCUUAGGAUUCGGUAGCCGGGCUGUGGCCGGCAAUAAAGAAGGAGGGUCAGAUCGACCUAACCUCGAGAAGGAAGGUAAGGGAUCCUAGACUUUGAGUCUAAGGGUUCUAGGAUGUGAGUUAGUAGUCGGAUCUUUGAAAGGAUCGACUAGAAGGCUGGGUAGUAUCCGGGUCAUGUGCAUCCUACACAAGACUCGGUCCGGGUAGGGAUCGGCUGAGGCGGGGACGCGGCUCGGCGGAGGACCGGCGGGUCUUAACUGACCUGCCGAGAAUCGGCCGGACUGAUGCGCGAUCUUCCCCUCUCUGAAUUCUCUCCACGGAUCCGAGUAGUGUAUGGCAUAUAGAGCAUUGCAUGGACUUGCAUAUGAUUAAGUAAAUGAGAUUAC
This 2795-nucleotide small RNA is filed under the name Arabidopsis thaliana (thale cress). RNAcentral describes it as "ATSL092510". Lineage: Eukaryota; Viridiplantae; Streptophyta; Magnoliopsida; Brassicales; Brassicaceae. The record is from RNAcentral.